Molecule: non-coding RNA, 75 nt
Organism: Podarcis lilfordi (Lilford's wall lizard)
Lineage: Eukaryota; Metazoa; Chordata; Lepidosauria; Squamata; Lacertidae
Source: the annotation of a GenBank genome assembly
GGAAAGGCCACAGCUCAAUGGUAGAACAUCUGAUUUACAUGCAAAAGGUCCCAGGUUCAAACCCUAGCAUUUCCU